UACGUAGGGUGCGAGCGUUAAUCGGAAUUACUGGGCGUAAAGCGUGCGCAGGCCGGUCUGUUAAGACCGAUGUGAAAUCCCCGGGCUUAACCUGGGAACUGCAUUGGUGACUGGCAGGCUUUGAGUGUGGCAGAGGGAGGUAGAAUUCCACGUGUAGCAGUGAAAUGCGCAGAGAUGUGGAGGAAUACCGAUGGCGAAGGCAGCCUCCUGGGCCAACACUGACGCUCAUGCACGAAGCGUGGGAGCAAACAGG
This 253-nucleotide ribosomal RNA is filed under the name uncultured bacterium. RNAcentral describes it as "partial 16S ribosomal RNA". It matches the Rfam family "Bacterial small subunit ribosomal RNA", at positions 524 to 776 of the family's 1533-position model. The record is from RNAcentral.